UACGGGGGGGGCAAGCGUUGUUCGGAAUUACUGGGCGUAAAGGGCUCGUAGGUGGCCAACUAAGUCAGACGUGAAAUCCCUCGGCUUAACCGGGGAACUGCGUCUGAUACUGGAUGGCUUGAAUCCGGGAGAGGGAUGCGGAAUUCCAGGUGUAGCGGUGAAAUGCGUAGAUAUCUGGAGGAACACCGGUGGCGAAGGCGGCAUCCUGGACCGGCAUUGACGCUGAGGCGCGAAAGCUAGGGGAGCAAACGGG
This 253-nucleotide ribosomal RNA is filed under the name uncultured bacterium. RNAcentral describes it as "partial 16S ribosomal RNA". It matches the Rfam family "Bacterial small subunit ribosomal RNA", at positions 524 to 776 of the family's 1533-position model. The record is from RNAcentral.